GCGCCUAUAGCUCAAUUGGAUAGAGUGGCUGGCUUCGAACCAGUAGGCUGGGGGUUCGAAUCCCUCUAGGCGCG
Molecule: transfer RNA, 74 nt
Filed under: Candidatus Omnitrophota bacterium
Lineage: Bacteria; Pseudomonadati; Candidatus Omnitrophota
Description: tRNA-Arg
Rfam family: tRNA
About the family: Transfer RNA (tRNA) molecules are approximately 80 nucleotides in length.
Source: RNAcentral